AUGGCCACCAGGCUCCUCUGCUGGGUGGCCCUUUGUCUCCUGGGAGUAGAGCCCACACAAGCUGGGGUCACCCAGAGACCCAGGCACGAGGUGACAGAAAUGGGACAAAACGUAACUCUGAGUUGUGAGCCAAUUUCAGGCCACAAUGAUCUUUACUGGUACAGACAGACCUCAGUGCAGGGACUAGAGUUCAUGAUUUACUUCAGCAAUCGAAGUCCCAUGGACGACACAGGGAUGCCCAAGAAGCGGUACUCAGCUCGGAUGCCUAAUGCUUCGUUCUCCACUCUGAUGAUCCAGUCCUUGGAGCCGGGGGACUCAGCCGUGUACCUCUGUGCCAGCAGAUUAGCCACAGCGCUGCACAGUCGCCCCCUCCCUGUGCAGAAACCUCAGCUUCCCCUUCUCUCAGCAGCUGCCAGGGGUCCUGAGUAA
Non-coding RNA from Pteronotus mesoamericanus, 429 nucleotides. Lineage: Eukaryota; Metazoa; Chordata; Mammalia; Chiroptera; Mormoopidae. The record is from the annotation of a RefSeq genome assembly.